This 580-nucleotide long non-coding RNA is filed under the name Ursus maritimus (polar bear). RNAcentral describes it as "lncRNA (ENSUMAG00000025340.1)". The record is from RNAcentral. Lineage: Eukaryota; Metazoa; Chordata; Mammalia; Carnivora; Ursidae.
ACAAGUUACUAGGAUUUUAAAGGAAACUGAAUGUUCAUUGAAGAGCAGCCUAUGCUGAGCUCUUGGUUUUUUUACAUGUGUUUUUCUUUUCUUUUUUUUUUUUUUUAAGAUUUUAUUUAUUUAUUCGACAGAGAUAGAGACAGCCAGCAAGAAAGGGAACACAAGCAGGGGGAGUGGGAGAGGAAGAAGCAGGCUCACAGCAGAGGAGCCUGAUGUGGGGCUCGAUCCCAUAACGCCGGGAUCACGCCCUGAGCCGAAGGCAGACACUCAACCGCUGUGCCACCCAGGCGCCCCUUACAUGUGUUUUUCUACGUCUCCAGUUCAACCUCUAGAAAACUGCUGACAUGGUUUUGGAGAAGCCCCUAGAGAGGACUAAAGAAGCUGAGAAACCCGGUUGGGGGAAGAGGUCAAGCUCACCUGCAAAAGCCACACAGCUCAGGGACCAUCCUCGCAUCCCUGAGAAAAUGAAUCAAAACAGCUCCCUCCAGCUUGUUCUUUGAAAUAAUCCUGAGACAGCUGAGUGACGCAGCCUAUGGGCAGAUGUGUGGCUGACCUUUCUUCUAAGUGCGCAAUAGCUGAG